RNAcentral lists this ribosomal RNA (496 nucleotides) under uncultured bacterium. RNAcentral's name for it is "partial 16S ribosomal RNA". It matches the Rfam family "Bacterial small subunit ribosomal RNA", at positions 28 to 506 of the family's 1533-position model. The record is from RNAcentral.
GAUGAACGCUGGCGGCGUGCCUAAUACAUGCAAGUCGAGCGAACGGACGAGAAGCUUGCUUCUCUGAUGUUAGCGGCGGACGGGUGAGUAACACGUGGAUAACCUACCUAUAAGACUGGGAUAACUUCGGGAAACCGGAGCUAAUACCGGAUGAUAUUUUGAACCGCAUGGUUCAAAAGUGAAAGACGGUCUUGCUGUCACUUAUAGAUGGAUCCGCGCUGCAUUAGCUAGUUGGUAAGGUAACGGCUUACCAAGGCAACGAUGCAUAGCCGACCUGAGAGGGUGAUCGGCCACACUGGAACCGAGACACGGUCCAGACUCCUACGGGAGGCAGCAGUAGGGAAUCUUCCGCAAUGGGCGAAAGCCUGACGGAGCAACGCCGCGUGAGUGAUGAAGGUCUUCGGAUCGUAAAACUCUGUUAUUAGGGAAGAACAUAUGUGUAAGUAACUGUGCACAUCUUGACGGUACCUAAUCAGAAAGCCACGGCUAACUACGU